This 338-nucleotide long non-coding RNA is filed under the name Manacus vitellinus (golden-collared manakin). Its description in RNAcentral is "lncRNA (ENSMVIG00005013279.1)". Lineage: Eukaryota; Metazoa; Chordata; Aves; Passeriformes; Pipridae. The record is from RNAcentral.
AGAGCAGAGAGGGUUUUAAAGGCACUUUGCACGUAAGUACUCAUGAAACAACAUUGUUAUUCUCACACAGCAGGCAUAAGCAGAAGAAACAGAGACAUAACAACUUAGCAAUGCAAAAUGAGCUCCAGGCAUCAGGUAAGCCAAAAAGAAGCUAUCAAAUUAUCUUCACCUUCAGCCCCUGCAAACUGGGAUCAAGAGUGGUGGAAGAUCUUCUGUUGACAAGUUCCCUCGCACAACCAGUGCUGCAAAAAGCUGUCAAUAAGAGCUUACCCUGUGCUAUGAGUUGGAUUGAGGGAAGUGAUGGCAUGGUGGGAAUACGUGCUAUCAUGGAGAUAUGA